Molecule: non-coding RNA, 75 nt
Organism: Myotis brandtii (Brandt's bat)
Lineage: Eukaryota; Metazoa; Chordata; Mammalia; Chiroptera; Vespertilionidae
Source: Rfam
GGCAGUUCUCGGGUGAUGUAACCCAGAAUCGGGCUCCCUCCUCUCAGAUUCCGGGUGCGUCACCCGAGAACUGCA